GACGAACGCUGGCGGCGUGCUUAACACAUGCAAGUCGAACGGUGAAGCUCCAGCUUGCUGGAGUGGAUCAGUGGCGAACGGGUGAGUAACACGUGAGCAACCUGCCCCUGACUCUGGAAUAAGCGCUGGAAACGGCGUCUAAUACUGGAUACGAGAAGGGCCCGCAUGGGCACUUUCUGGAAAGUUUUUUGGUUGGGGAUGGGCUCGCGGCCUAUCAGCUUGUUGGUGAGGUAAUGGCUCACCAAGGCGACGACGGGUAGCCGGCCUGAGAGGGCGACCGGCCACACUGGGACUGAGACACGGCCCAGACUCCUACGGGAGGCAGCAGUGGGGAAUAUUGCACAAUGGGCGAAAGCCUGAUGCAGCGACGCCGCGUGAGGGAUGACGGCCUUCGGGUUGUAAACCUCUUUCAGCAGGGAAGAAGCGAAAGUGACGGUACCUGCAGAAGAAGCACCGGCUAACUACGUG
Molecule: ribosomal RNA, 468 nt
Filed under: uncultured bacterium
Lineage: Bacteria
Description: partial 16S ribosomal RNA
Rfam family: Bacterial small subunit ribosomal RNA
Source: RNAcentral